RNAcentral lists this ribosomal RNA (867 nucleotides) under uncultured Chloroflexota bacterium. Its description in RNAcentral is "bacterial SSU rRNA". It matches the Rfam family "Bacterial small subunit ribosomal RNA", at positions 505 to 1385 of the family's 1533-position model. Lineage: Bacteria; Bacillati; Chloroflexota. The record is from RNAcentral.
GUGCCAGCCGCCGCGGUAACACGUAGGAGGCAAGCGUUAUCCGGAUUUACUGGGCAUAAAGAGCGUGUAGGUGGUUCGGCAGGUCGGAUGUGAAAGCUCCUGGCUCAACUGGGAGAUGUUAUUCGAAACUGCCGUGCUAGAGGACGAUAGAGGAAGAUGGAAUUCCCGGUGUAGUAGUGAAAUGCGUAGAUAUCGGGAGGAACACCAACGGCGAAGGCAGUCUUCUGGGUCGUUCCUGACACUGAGACGCGAAAGCAUGGGUAGCAAACGGGAUUAGAAACCCCGGUAGUCCAUGCCGUAAACGAUGCGAACUAGACGUUGGUAACGUAAAAGUUAUCGGUGUCGCAGCUAAUGCGUUAAGUUCGCCGCCUGGGGAUUACGACCGCAAGGUUAAAACUCAAAGGAAUUGACGGGUUCCCGCACAAGCAGAGGAGCGUGUGGUUUAAUUCGAUGCUACACGAAGAACCUUACCUGGGUUUGACAUAUAGGUGGUAGAGAGCCGAAAGGUAAUCGACCCUUCGGGGAGCCUAUACAGGUGCUGCAUGGCUGUCGUCAGCUCGUGCCGUGAGGUGUCCGGUUAAGUCCGGUAACGAGCGCAACCCUUGCCGUAUGUUAUAAGUGUCAUACGGGACUGCCGAUAUAAAAUCGGGGGAAGGAGGGGAUGACGUCAAGUCAGCAUGGCCUUUAUAUCCAGGGCUACACACACGCUGCAAUGGCCGGUACAAUAGGUCGCAAAACCGCGAGGUGGAGCCAAUCCUAAAAGCCGGUCUCAGUUCGAAUUGGAGGCUGCAACCCGCCCCCAUGAAGUCGGAUUUGCUAGUAAACGCGCGUCAGCAUAGUGCGUUGAAUACGUUCCCGGGAAUUGCA